GGCAGCUCAAGGGUAGAGCAUCUGCCUUGCAUGAAGAAGGUCCCAGGUUCAGUCCCCAAAGUCCCCAGGCAGGGCCA
Molecule: non-coding RNA, 77 nt
Organism: Podarcis lilfordi (Lilford's wall lizard)
Lineage: Eukaryota; Metazoa; Chordata; Lepidosauria; Squamata; Lacertidae
Source: the annotation of a GenBank genome assembly